Molecule: ribosomal RNA, 253 nt
Filed under: uncultured bacterium
Lineage: Bacteria
Description: partial 16S ribosomal RNA
Rfam family: Bacterial small subunit ribosomal RNA
Source: RNAcentral
GACGUAGGGCGCGAGCGUUGUCCGGAUUUAUUGGGCGUAAAGAGCUCGUAGGCGGCUCGUUGCGUCAACCGUGAAAACCCGGGGCUUAACUUCGGGCUUGCGGUUGAUACGGGCAGGCUCGAGUUCGGUAGGGGAGACUGGAAUUCCUGGUGUAGCGGUGAAAUGCGCAGAUAUCAGGAGGAACACCGGUGGCGAAGGCGGGACUCUGGGCCGAUACUGACGCUGAGGAGCGAAAGCGUGGGGAGCAAACAGG